RNAcentral lists this ribosomal RNA (433 nucleotides) under uncultured bacterium. RNAcentral's name for it is "partial 16S ribosomal RNA". It matches the Rfam family "Bacterial small subunit ribosomal RNA", at positions 29 to 507 of the family's 1533-position model. The record is from RNAcentral.
AACGAACGCUGGCGGCAGGCCUAACACAUGCAAGUCGAGCGGACCCUUCGGGGUUAGCGGCGGACGGGUGAGUAACGCGUGGGAACGUGCCCUUUGCUUCGGAAUAGCCCUGGGAAACUGGGAGUAAUACCGGAUACGCCCUUUUGGGGGAAGAUUUAUCGGCGAAGGAUCGGCCCGCGUUGGAUUAGGUAGUUGGUGGGGUAAUGGCCUACCAAGCCGACGAUCCAUAGCUGGUUUGAGAGGAUGAUCAGCCACACUGGGACUGAGACACGGCCCAGACUCCUACGGGAGGCAGCAGUGGGGAAUCUUAGACAAUGGGGGAAACCCUGAUCGAGCCAUGCCGCGUGAGCGAUGAAGGCCUUAGGGUUGUAAAGCACUUUCACCGGGGAAGAUAAUGACGGUACCCGGAGAAGAAGCCCCGGCUAACUCCGUG